GGACUAGAAUGAAUGGAUGAAUGAAGCAUUUCUUUUUUAAAUCAAAAUUUAUAAGUAAUUUUUUUAGUGCAGAAACUAAAAUAAAUAUGAGGGACGAGAAGACCCUAUUAAGCUUUAUGAAAGUUCAUUUUGUUGGGGACACAGAAGAAUAAAAUUUCUUUUUUAUAGUUUUUUUUAUAAAAGAAGAUAUGUUAUUAAUGAUUAUAGAACAAGUUACUAUAGGGAUAACAGCAUAAUUUUUUUUAAAAGUUCUUAUUUACGAAGGAGUUUAUGACCUCGAUGUUGGAUUAAAAAUAUUAUAUGAUGAAGUUGUUGUAUGAAUUAGUCUGUUCGACUAUUAAAAUUUUA
RNAcentral lists this ribosomal RNA (348 nucleotides) under Epiperipatus sp. MZUSP 0026. Its description in RNAcentral is "partial 16S ribosomal RNA". Lineage: Eukaryota; Metazoa; Onychophora; Udeonychophora; Euonychophora; Peripatidae. The record is from RNAcentral.